This 2432-nucleotide unclassified non-coding RNA is filed under the name Hevea brasiliensis (rubber tree). Lineage: Eukaryota; Viridiplantae; Streptophyta; Magnoliopsida; Malpighiales; Euphorbiaceae. The record is from RNAcentral.
CCCUGAAUUUGCCUCUUGGGUAUGACACAAAUGCUUAGGCCAGAUGUAUCAGAUAAUACUGAAAGUGGGCAACAAAAAGAAGGAUGGUUAAUGGAAAAAGACAUAUGCAAAUGGGAACUCCAAUUAUCCAUAUGGCCCUCCAUUCAAACCCUUUACUACUUUAUUGAGCAUUUAAGAGAAAACAAAAGCCAUAUAGUACAAUUGCUGGCUUUAAUGGGUAUCCAAAGAUUUUGCAAAAGAGCAAAGAGCAAACAUAAGAUCAGAAGCUCCACAGAUUACAACAUAAACACAAGAAAUUAAAGAAACCACAAAAUUUAAGUAUCAAAUGUAAUUGAAAUUCUAAUUUACCCCUUAAUAAUUCUCAACUCCAAAUCCCACUAGGAUCAAAAACUUAAUUAUAAUUAGCGUAAUAACUAUAUAUAUAAAAGGGUACUAAUUAAUUUAAGCUUCAAUGUCAAACCUUGGACACUUGAUGGAGCCCAUUGAUAUAUCAAUCUCAAUCAAGUUUUCUUCCUCGUUCAUCUCAUUUAGUUCUGCCAAAAGCUCCAUUAGACCAUGUUGCUUAUAGAAUGAACCUGUUGUUGUGAAAUCUGGGAAUUUCUUCUGCAGAUUAAACUUGGAUUCUUCUUCUUUAUGACCAAUGUAGUGUCCACUAGGAAGCGCAAUUUCAAUGAGACUUUCUUCAUCGGAAAUAGAUCCAUCAGAGCAAUCCGGGCUUCGAAACAUCUUGUCUUGAAAGGGCCAGUCUGCUUCAGAAUCCUGAUCGCUAGUUGAAGAACGGUAGAGGCAGCAGUCACUUUCUGAUAGUAUAACUGGAUAUGAUCUGUCUAUGAACUCAUCAAUCUGGCAGAUAUCUUCCUUUUCUCCAGUUCCUUUCUCUUCUGUGAUGGAUUCAUCUUCAGGAACUAGUUCUUUAGAUAAAAUAAUAUCUUCUUCUUGUUCUUCUUCAUCUUCUUCUUCUAUGCAAGGCGAUUCAGGCGAACUUUCUUGAUCAGUUGUGACUGAUUUCUCCAGCAGCUUUGGUUUUUGCUUAUAGAACUUGAAGAUAAGAGGGGAUAAAGUUAAUAGUGAUGUGAGAAGGAUGGAUGAUGAGAACCCACAGCCUAGAAAAGCAGCAAGAACUAAACCAAGAACAGAAAUCCAUGAUAAUGGGUUUUUGAAGAAAAAAGAAAUGGAAGGCAUUUGUUCCUGAUCAACUUUUGUGUCUCCACUUAAUUAUGUACUGUAACAACUCCUUUAUAUGAUCAAUUUAUUUGCUAGAAAAAAAGUAUAAAGAAGGUGAAUUUCUUCUUUUAUUGAAAUGCAAGAUCUAUGACAGAAUAGACUAAAGAAAAAAAAAUCUAAACUACUAUUUCAAUAAGAUCUGUUACCGGAAGUAAAAUUGAUAAAAAAAAAAUGCAGAAACUUGGCUUGUAAUGUUUGUUCUUGCUGGGACAUGAAACAAGACAAAGGGCAAAAAAAUGGAAGAUUUUGCAUGUGCAAAUUGAAGAGAGUUUGAUAGGAAUACCAAAGAAAGAAUGAACAAGAAGCUUAAAUGAGUAGUGAAUGUUGUUGUUGUGUGCUUGGAGAUUGGAGAAGAAGCAGAUAAUACCUUAACUGGUUUGCAAAGAAGAAGCAUAUGUAAAACAUUUAAGAAACCAUAUUUCAAUUUCUUCUUUCUCCUAAAAAACUAUGUGCUUUUCUCAUAUAACCCCAAUCAGAUGGUCUUCCUCUUCAAGUGAUUCUCUUGAAAACACCAAAACCCCAGGUUUUCCCCAAUUGAUUUACAGUCUCAGAGCCUGGAUAUUAGAGAAGCCAUGUGCUUACAUCUGAGCUCACCACAUGGCACUUUGCCUCAAUCUUCCACGAGAAAAACAUAAAAAAUAUUAGAAAAAGAGUACGCGAGAUAAAUAUUAUAUUAAUUUUCUCCAUCAGCCAUUCCCAUCCUCCACCCCAAGAACCCUAAAUCAAAGCUUUAAUGAAGAUGGGAAACAGGCAUUUCCCAUUAAAAUAUCUUCUCUCUCUACGUAUAUUCUGCUCAUUUCCAUCUACAGAAACUGCCUUUGAAAGGGCCAUAUUUGCAACAGCUUAAAAAAAAACACUUUUAUCUUUAGAACAGUCAAACAAUAUUCUCAUCAGUGCUUUUGCAGGAGUAUUUUCUAUGGAGGAUUUAUGAAACUCAACUCAACCCAAGAUUAUCUAACUAGUCAAAACCCAGAAACUAUUUUCUUGUUUUUCCAUACCUUUUCCAGUGGCAAUACAAAGCCUGUAAUCACAAAUAGACUGGCCAGUGUCAACUUGUCCACUGUACUAUACCACUCGUUGUAAGCUUUACAAACCCAUGUCAGAAUCGUACAGUCAAACACAAAAGCCUAGAGACGCAAAAGAAAAAACCCAAGAAUCUAUAGCAUUUUCUUUUGCAUUCAAUUAUAUAAUUUACAAUUCUGUUGCCA